RNAcentral lists this ribosomal RNA (253 nucleotides) under uncultured bacterium. RNAcentral describes it as "partial 16S ribosomal RNA". It matches the Rfam family "Bacterial small subunit ribosomal RNA", at positions 524 to 776 of the family's 1533-position model. The record is from RNAcentral.
UACGUAGGCAGCGAGCGUUGUUCGGAAUUACUGGGCGUAAAGAGUGUGUAGGCGGUGCUCUAAGUUCGGUGUGAAAUCUCCUGCUUAACUGGGAGGGUGCGCCGGAAACUGGAGUGCUCGAGCGUGGGAGAGGAAAGCGGAAUUCCUGGUGUAGCGGUGAAAUGCGUAGAGUAUCAGGAGGAACACCUGUGGUGUAGACGGCUUUCUGGACCAUAGCUGACGCUGAGACACGAAAGCGUGGGUAGCAAACAGG